CUUUUUUGUAAAAUGGUAACAGUUAUACCUAAGGAUGUCGUGAGGAUUAAGUGAGAUGACUUAAAGCACUCCACAAUGAGUGAGCAUUCGGGUGAUAACCAUUAUUAUUAAUCCUGCCUUUGGUGACAAGGGAGAUUGGCAGAAAGGCCUGUGGAUAUAUUCAAUGGCCCUGAAAAUCUGAGAAAUUAGAGUGCCUCAAUAGAUGUGAAGACCUGAGGAUGACCUUAUCCUCACACUGUGUUUCUGCUGGAAAUUCAAACAGAACUGGUAGUUGGGCAAAUUUGGUGGGCUCAAGUGAAUACUGUUGGGGCUGCCCACUAGCUGCCAGAGACCCCAAGUUUAAGGCCUCACACUCUGGGAAAUCACUAGAUCAGGGGUCAGUAACCAACUUCUAGGAACAAGGUGGGGGUGGGGAUCCAUGGAGACUUUGCCUAUGGAAUUUCAAUUUUUUUUUUCCUAUCAGGAAUCAAACUUAGGACCUUGCCCUUGCCAAGCAGGUGCGGUGCGGCUGAGCUACACUCUUGACCCUGGAAUUGUAGGUUUCUAGCUGAGCCUAAGGUGAUAGGAUGGCCUGAGUCCCUCAGCCCAGCAGGACUCUGUUUUCAUCCUUUUUCUGGCAGAUAGCUUUGUAAACUUUCUUCUUCCCUCCACCCCCUUGCUCUAGUACAUUAAGCCCUUCUUUGUCCUCUCUUUCUUUUAUUCAUCAGGACUGCCUGGGCAAGAUGGCUCUCCAAGCCCAGCUUGGCUGCUUGCCUCUUUCUGAGGAGACACAUGAGAGAUGGAAAGGAGAUGUAACCAGGUCCAGAGUGGAUGAUGCCCAUGGAGGAUCAGGAACUUGGGCUGUCAUUACCCCAAAAGAUCACCCCGUGGGUGAACCAAGGCUGAUGGAAACCCAGUGGGCUCUGCACAGCCACCCUAGGAAACAGCGGUGGUUUCGGUCCCAUUUUCACAGGUAUGGAAAUGGCUUCGUGACUUGCCCAAGCUGCCAGGAGUUCACAGGCUCCUGCAUGUCAGCAUUUCAGGUAAC
This is a long non-coding RNA of Heterocephalus glaber (naked mole-rat), 1027 nucleotides long. Lineage: Eukaryota; Metazoa; Chordata; Mammalia; Rodentia; Bathyergidae. The record is from Ensembl.